UACGUAGGUGACAAGCGUUGUCCGGAUUUACUGGGCGUAAAGAGCGCGCAGGCGGUCGAUCAAGUCGAGUGUGAAAGCCCCCGGCUCAACUGAGGAACUGCACGGGAAACUGCCUGGCUUGAGUUCGGGAGAGGGAAGCGGAAUUCCGGGUGUAGCGGUGAAAUGCGUAGAUAUCCGGAGGAACACCGGUGGCGAAGGCGGCUUCCUGGACCGACACUGACGCUGAGGCGCGAAAGCUAGGGGAGCAAACGGG
Molecule: ribosomal RNA, 253 nt
Filed under: uncultured bacterium
Lineage: Bacteria
Description: partial 16S ribosomal RNA
Rfam family: Bacterial small subunit ribosomal RNA
Source: RNAcentral